UAAUUUGAGAGUUUGAUUCUGGCUCAGAAUGAACGCUUAUGGCGUACUUAAGGCAUGCAAGUCGAACGAGAAAGUACCUUCGGGUAUGAGUAAAGUGGCGCACGGGUGAGUAACACUUAGCUAACGUACCUCUUCGCUGGGGAUAACCAAGGGAAACCUUGGCUAAUACCGAAUACUCCCAUUUUUACUACGGUUUAAAUGGGGAAAGCGUAUGCGUGAAGAGAGCGGGCUGAGUCCUAUUAGCUUGAUGGUGAGGUAAAGGCUUACCAUGGCAAUGAUAGGU
RNAcentral lists this ribosomal RNA (283 nucleotides) under Bdellovibrionales bacterium. RNAcentral's name for it is "partial 16S ribosomal RNA". It matches the Rfam family "Bacterial small subunit ribosomal RNA", at positions 1 to 284 of the family's 1533-position model. Lineage: Bacteria; Pseudomonadati; Bdellovibrionota; Bdellovibrionia; Bdellovibrionales. The record is from RNAcentral.